This 522-nucleotide ribosomal RNA is filed under the name uncultured bacterium. RNAcentral describes it as "bacterial SSU rRNA". It matches the Rfam family "Bacterial small subunit ribosomal RNA", at positions 524 to 1050 of the family's 1533-position model. The record is from RNAcentral.
UACGGAGGAUGCAAGCGUUAUCCGGAUUUAUUGGGUUUAAAGGGUGCGCAGGCGGACUAAUAAGUCAGUGGUGAAAUUUACAUGCUUAACAUGUGACGUGCCAUUGAUACUGUUAGACUAGUAUACAAAUGACGUAGCUGGAAUGUGUUAUGUAGCGGUGAAAUGCAUAGAUAUAACACAGAACACCGAUCGUGAAGACAGGUUACGAAUUUGUGAUAGACGCUCAUGCACGAAAGCGUGGGGAUCAAACAGGAUUAGAUACCCUGGUAGUCCACGCUGUAAACGAUGAUAACUUGUUGUUGGGCACAUAGUGCUCAGUGGCUAAGCGAAAGCGAUAAGUUAUCCACCUGGGGAGUACGAUCGCAAGGUUGAAACUCAAAGGAAUUGACGGGGGCCCGCACAAGCGGAGGAGCAUGUGGUUUAAUUCGAUGAUACGCGAGGAACCUUACCCGGGCUCGAACGUAUGUUGAAUAAUGUGGAAACAUGUUAGUCGUAAGACAACAUACGAGGUGCUGCAUGGUU